CAGUCGCCGCGGGUAAUACGAAGGGUGCAAGCGUUACUCGGAAUUACUGGGCGUAAAGCGUGUGUAGGUGGUUGUUUAAGUCUGUCGUGAAAGCCCUGGGCUCAACCUGGGAAUUGCGAUGGAUACUGGGCGACUAGAGUGCGGUAGAGGAUAGUGGAAUUUCCGGUGUAGCAGUGAAAUGCGUAGAGAUCGGAAGGAACAUCUGUGGCGAAGGCGACUAUCUGGGCCAACACUGACACUGAGACACGAAAGCGUGGGGAGCAAACAGGAUUAGAUACCCCAGUAGUCCCUGUCUCUUAUU
This 301-nucleotide ribosomal RNA is filed under the name uncultured bacterium. RNAcentral's name for it is "partial 16S ribosomal RNA". It matches the Rfam family "Bacterial small subunit ribosomal RNA", at positions 509 to 808 of the family's 1533-position model. The record is from RNAcentral.